Molecule: ribosomal RNA, 253 nt
Filed under: uncultured bacterium
Lineage: Bacteria
Description: partial 16S ribosomal RNA
Rfam family: Bacterial small subunit ribosomal RNA
Source: RNAcentral
UACGUAGGGGGCAAGCGUUGUCCGGAAUCAUUGGGCGUAAAGCGCGCGUAGGCGGCCUCAUAAGUCCGUUGUGAAAGUCAAAGGCUCAACCUUUGAAAGCCGAUGGAUACUGUGAGGCUAGAGUACGGAAGAGGCGAGUGGAAUUCCUGGUGUAGCGGUGGAAUGCGCAGAUAUCAGGAGGAACACCAAUAGCGAAGGCAGCUCGCUGGGACGUUACUGACGCUAAGGCGCGAAAGCGUGGGGAGCGAACAGG